AGAGUUUGAUCCUGGCUCAGGACGAACGCUGGCGGCGUUAACACAUGCAAGUCGAGCGGUAAGGCCCUUUCGGGGGUACACGAGCGGCGAACGGGUGAGUAACACGUGGGUGACCUGCCCUCAGCUCUGGGAUAAGCCUGGGAAACCGGGUCUAAUACCGGAUAUGACUCCAUGACGCAUGUUGUGGGGUGGAAAGCCUUGUGCGGCUGGGGAUGGGCCCGCGGCCUAUCAGCUUGUUGGUGGGGUGAUGGCCUACCAAGGCGACGACGGGUAGCCGGCCUGAGAGGGCGACCGGCCACACUGGGACUGAGACACGGCCCAGACUCCUACGGGAGGCAGCAGUGGGGAAUCUUGCGCAAUGGGCGAAAGCCUGACGCAGCGACGCCGCGUGAGGGAUGACGGCCUUCGGGUUGUAAACCUCUUUCAGCUCCGACGAAGCGAAAGUGACGGUAGGAGCAGAAGAAGCACCGGCCAACUACGUGCCAGCAGCCGCGGUAAUACGUAGGGUGCAAGCGUUGUCCGGAAUUAUUGGGCGUAAAGAGCUCGUAGGCGGUCUGUCGCGUCGGCUGUGAAAACUUGGGGGCUCAACUCCGAGCUUGCAGUCGAUACGGGCAGGCUAGAGUUCGGCAGGGGAGACUGGAAUUCCUGGUGUAGCGGUGAAAUGCGCGAUAUCAGGAGGAACACCGGUGGCGAAGGCGGGUCUCUGGGCCGAUACUGACGCUGAGGAGCGAAAGCGUGGGGAGCGAACAGGAUUAGAUACCCUAGUAGUCC
RNAcentral lists this ribosomal RNA (771 nucleotides) under uncultured bacterium. Its description in RNAcentral is "bacterial SSU rRNA". It matches the Rfam family "Bacterial small subunit ribosomal RNA", at positions 8 to 796 of the family's 1533-position model. The record is from RNAcentral.